UACGUAGGGUGCGAGCGUUAAUCGGAAUUACUGGGCGUAAAGCGUGCGCAGGCGGUUCGUUGUGUCCGAUGUGAAAGCCCCGGGCUUAACCUGGGAAUGGCAUUGGAAACUGGCGAGCUUGAGUGCGGCAGAGGGGGGUGGAAUUCCGCGUGUAGCAGUGAAAUGCGUAGAGAUGCGGAGGAACACCGAUGGCGAAGGCAGCCCCCCUGGGUCGACACUGACGCUCAGGCACGAAAGCGUGGGGAGCAAACAGG
Molecule: ribosomal RNA, 254 nt
Filed under: uncultured bacterium
Lineage: Bacteria
Description: partial 16S ribosomal RNA
Rfam family: Bacterial small subunit ribosomal RNA
Source: RNAcentral